RNAcentral lists this ribosomal RNA (1798 nucleotides) under Hibiscus syriacus. Its description in RNAcentral is "SSU rRNA". It matches the Rfam family "Eukaryotic small subunit ribosomal RNA". The record is from RNAcentral. Lineage: Eukaryota; Viridiplantae; Streptophyta; Magnoliopsida; Malvales; Malvaceae.
CCUGGUUGAUCCUGCCAGUAGUCAUAUGCUUGUCUCAAAGAUUAAGCCAUGCAUGUGUAAGUAUGAACUAAUUCAAACUGUGAAACUGCUAAUGGCUCAUUAAAUCAGUUAAAGUUUGUUUGAUGGUAUUUUCUACUCGGAUAACUAUAGUAAUUCUAGAGCUAAUACGUACAAUAAACCCUAACUUCUAGAAGGGAUACAUUUAUUAGAUAAAAGUUCGACGCGGGAUUUACCCGUUGCUCUGAUGAUUCAUGAUAACUCGACGGAUCGCACGACCUUUGUGCAGGCCACGCAUCAUUCAAAUUUAUGCCCUAUCAACUUUCGAUGGUAGGAUAGUGGCCUACUAUGGUGGUGAUGGGUUACGGAGAAUUAGGGUUUGAUUUCGGAGAGGGAGCCUGAGAAACGGCUACCACAUCCAAGAAAGGCAGCAGGCGUGCAAAUUACCCAAUCCUGACACGGGGAGGUAGUGACAAUAAAUAACAAUACCGGGCUCUACGAGUCUGGUAAUUGGAAUGAGUACAAUCUAAAUCCCUUAACGAGGAUCCCUUAGAGGGCAAGUCUGGUGCCAGCAGCCGUGGUAAUUCCAGCUCCAAUAGCGUAUAUUUAAGUUGUUGCAGUUAAAAAUCUCGUCAUUGGACCUAGGGUUGGGUCGACCGGUCCGCCUAACGAUGAGCACUGGUCUACUCGUCUCUACUGCCAGUGAUGCGCUUCUGGCCUUAAUUGGCCGGGUCGUUCCUCCGGCGCUGUUACUUUGAAGAAAUGAGAGUGCUCAAAGAAGGCCUACAAUUAUAUACAUUAGCAUGGGAUAACAUCACAGGAUUUCGAUCCUAUUGUAUUGGCCUUCGGGAUCAGAGUAAUGAUUAAUAGGGACAGUCAGGGCCAUUCGUAUUUCAUAGUCAGAGGUGAAAUUCUUGGAUUUAUGAAAGAUGAACAACUGCGAAAGCAUUUGCCAAGGAUGUUUUGAUUAAUCAAGAACGAAGAUUGGGGACUCGAAGAUGAUCAGAUAUCAUCCUAGUAUCAACCAAAAACGAUGCCGACCAAGGAUCGGCGGAUGUUGUUUUAGGACUCUGCCGGCAACUUAUGAGAAAUCAAAGUCUUUGGGUUUUGGGGAGAGUAUGGUCACAAGCCUGAAACUUAAAGGAAUUGACGAAAGGGCACCAUCAGAAGUGGAGCCUGCGGCUUAAAUUGACUCAACACGGGGAAACUUACCAGGUCCAGACAUAGUAUGGAUUGACAGACUGAGAGCUCCUUCUUGAUUCUAUGGGUAGUGGUGCAUGGCCGUUCUUAGUUGGUGGAGCGAUUUGUCUGGUUAAUUCCAUUAACGAACGAGACCAUAACCUUCUAACUAGCUACACGGAGGUGAUCCUCCGUGGCUAGCUUCUAAGAUGGACUAUGGCCGCUUAGGCCAAGGAAGUUUGAAGCAAUAACAGGUCUAUGAUGUCCUUAGAUGUUCUGGGCCAUCACGUGCGCUACACUAAUGCAUUCAACGAGUCUAUAGCCUUGGCUGACAGGCACGGGUAAUCUUUGAAAUUUCAUCGUGAUGGGGAUAGAUUAUUGUAAUUGUUGGUCUUAAAUGAGGAUUUCAUAGUAAGCACGAGUCAUCAGCUCGCGUUGACUAUGUCCCUGCCCUCUGUACACACUGCCCGUCGCUCCUACCGAUUGAAUGAUCUGGUAAAGUCUUCGAAUCGCAACAACGUGGGUGGUUCGCUACCCACGACGUCGCGAGAAGUCCACUGAACCUUAUCAUUUAGAGGAAGGAGAAGUCGUAACAAGCUUUUCGUAGGUGAACCUACGAAAG